Triplophysa dalaica is the source of this 1301-nucleotide long non-coding RNA. RefSeq lists it as uncharacterized. Lineage: Eukaryota; Metazoa; Chordata; Actinopteri; Cypriniformes; Nemacheilidae. The record is from RefSeq and is a predicted model, not a curated record. The transcript has 4 exons.
UAUAAUAUCGAUAUGGUUUUAUUAACCAUAAUAAAAUUAAUCGAAAUAAAAUGUAAAGAAUAAACUCAUUAUACUUUUCGAGAAAAAACGUGUGAAAUUUCGAAAAAAACUGCGGGUUUGAUCUCGAUUUAUAAUGACUUUAAUAUCGAUAUGGUUUUAUUAUUUUGUUAUUGCCCAAAUAACUCGAUCAAAUGAACACUAAAAGAAAAACUUCAGAUCUGAAUUUAGCAAAUGUCAAGAUUUAUGUAAUAAAAGCAGUCGAUCGUCUCUUGCAGCUGAAUCUGUUGAAGCAGAAAGCAGGCUUCAGUUUUGAAGGCCCAACCAAACGCGGUGGAAUUCAACUUUAAUGGCGGUUGAGAGAAUCCUCCAAAUUUGCGAAAAAGCAGCAGAAGUCACUCAGAAUACGCACGUCUCUUCAGCAGGAAAUGGUUGUGCUGGAGAGAGAAGCGUCGUCCCUUUGACUAGUAGAAACACAUCAGUAAAGAGAGACAACGAGCGCUUAUCAACUUUUUCAGCAGUAGAUGAGAACAGGGAAGACGUCCAUCAUUGCUGGAUAGAUCAGCGUCCGAUCAAUAUUCUCCGAGUCAAACCGCUGUAGUAUGGCGUCUCUUUGAGCUUCAGUGAUGUUGAUCUGAAAAUGGAAAGCGUCGCAGGAGGCGUGGAGGGGUUGCUGUCAAACUGAAAAUGGAUUUGCACUCAGGCCGGGUCUCCAGCUUUUUCCGUGUGGCUCGGUACCUGGGAGGUCGUGGCCGCUGUGCUGUCUGGCGCUCGCUGGAUUGUUCUCCCAGCUGGUUUCGACCCAUCUUUAUUAAUUCUACUUCUACGACAUCCCACUAUUCAUCUCUCCAUGUUCAUCAAGGUGGAGUUAAUCAUCAGAAUCUUCGCACUCUGAACAGAGCCUCAAGCAACAAUUAAACAAUGAAACCACAAAUGAAACGAUAAUAAUGAAAAAUGUCUUACUCUGCUUCAGCCUUCUGAAGAAAUGACCGGUUAUCAUAUUCCCGCCGUUGAAAGGAGCGUUCCUCCUGCUGUGGCACCCCGACACCUUCAGAAAAACACAUUUGUUUCAUGUAUUAAGGAGUGUUUCAAUUGAAUCAUUGGGGACUGAGCACUAGGGCUAUGAUGGUGGCCGUAACAACCGCGUCACCUAAUUUAGAAUUUAAAUUUUCGCUUAAUAUUUAAUUUAAUUGGGUUUAAUCGGGUUCAUUAUAUAUACUGAUGUUUAUUUCAAUGUUUUAUAUGGUGUUGUGCGGCAUUUUACUGAUGGUUUUCAAAAAGUAUUAAAAUAAGCUUUAAGUCUC